This is an RNA transcript of Triticum aestivum (bread wheat), 8752 nucleotides long. RefSeq lists it as uncharacterized. NCBI's taxonomy places the organism in Eukaryota, Viridiplantae, Streptophyta, Magnoliopsida, Poales, Poaceae. The record is from RefSeq and is a predicted model, not a curated record. The transcript is spliced from 12 exons.
CCACGUUCGCACAGCUACAAGAAAAACAAAAGUAACGACAAACCGGAAAGAUCCGCAAUCACGCCCGUGCCCUUCGUCCAACCUUCCCCAAACCUCGCGUUCUUCCUCUCCCCAUCGAGCGCCGCCGCCCCCGUCGCGUCUACGAUCUCUCCCACAGGCACGACUCGCUGCCCUCCCCUGGUCGCUGCAACUCGCACCUCACCUCAAUCGCCACCAGCCUCCCCCUCCACUACAUCGCCUCGACCUCCAACGCCCGAUGCUCGCCCUCCACUAGAUCGGCGCUGCCCGAUGUGUGGGAUGCGAGAGUCCGGCUGCAGCUGCGUGGCCACGACACGGCUCGCACGGCGCGUAUGCAGCAGCUCGCAAACAGCAGCGGCUCGACAGGAGCGGCGAUGGGCUGCAGGGCUGCGGCGAUGGCGGUCGUCCGGCAUAUGGAGCGGCUCUAACAGGCAGGCUGCUGAGCGCGAGUAGGGCUUGGCAGAGCGCAUAAGUCCAGCGCAUCAUGGCCGGGCCAGCGGGGCAACGAUGUACGAUGUACGCGGAGGUGGUGGUUCAUCGAUGUGCGUACGUAUCCUUACAAGAUCAACGGGAUAGGAUGCUGUGGAUUGUUCUCUCCAGCUGUUCGAUUUGCACAUGCGACAAUCGAAGUGUGCCUAUGUUUGGCCGGCCCUGGCUGCCAGGUUCACAGAUAUACAGGUCGAAUUCUUCGUUCUUUAUUAUAGACCGUUUCAUGUGCUUUGACUCGUGUCUGGGUCGGCGCAUCUAUUAUUUUCGGUCGCAAAUGUGCGCUAGCUCAUGCCUCUCUUGGGUGAUAUAAUUUUGUUGGGGUUUCUCAUAAACUGCAGUGCAUGUGUUAUGCAGAUGAACAAAAACCAUUCAGGUUCUGCAUCCACCCAUCAGGUUCUCUAUUAUACUGCAGGAGGAAAUCCUUUCUUAAUUCUUAUUGACCCUUCAAGCGGGAGGCUUUUAGAGGCAGCUUUCGUGCUUUUCCUUUCCGCUGGAACUGCAUGCAGAGUCUGAGUUCAUGGAGUGCCUUUGGCCUUUAGAAAGAAGAAGAAUAAAUGUUUCGCCGUUGAUCUUUCUUAUGUUCCUAGGUGCAUUGUUUUAGGUUAUGCCCUCAUAUGCAGAGAUGGAAAAUCACACAUUUUGCAUCCAGCUUUCAAUGGGAAUAAAUUGAAUUUUGUUUCGAAGCUUGCCGAUGAAUCAAGAAUAUAUCUUCGAAAGCUGCUUGUUUGUUGCAAGAAAAAAGAGAUCUGAUUUAAGCAUCAUUGUACUUCAAAACCUACACAGUAUUUAUUUCUGCAUUCAUUUGAAGAUGAGAAUAUACUGAGUUCAAUUUCGAGUGUCGAUCCAUUGUUUUUCUGCAGGUAAGUAUUAUUUUUUAUUUCCUAAAAAGGAUUUGAAUAUCAUUUGAUCUGUUAUUGAUUGAGGAUCAGCAUCUUGUACAGUAUGAUUUUAUUGUUUCUCCUUUUUUUAGCUCAGUCCUAAAAUGUACACUAUGAUUUUAUGGAGUGCAUUAUGCCAAUGGAUUACUGCAUUUUUAUGUUAGUUUUUAGACUAUUUGAAUGUAAGGACUCUACAGAAUCUCUUUGACAAUCUACUGCAAAUCAUUUCCUGCACAGAAAAUUCAGUACAUGCUUCUAUGAAUAUCUGCAAUACAAGAUUUGUUCUUAUAUGUUGGCCUGCCGAUGGGUAUUGGCAGCCUUGCAUGCAUGUUUUUAAAAUACUUAAUCCAAGCGCCACUUCUGUAGUAAAUAAGCUGAACUUUUAUUUAAAUAACUAAAUGUUGGUUUGCCGAAGUUUUCUUGUGACUGAAUUAUGGAACUUCCAUUGUGCAGUUUUUACAUAUGGUCAUGCAGUCAUUUUGGCUAUUUAUGUAACAAUACAUCGUCCAGUUUGCAAGACGUUCUGUCUAUAGGUUCUUCUGUACUUAUCUUGUGUUUAACAGGUUUGACUGUUGUUCCUCUACUAUACAACUUCAUCUUUUAGUAUCGACCAAUACUUCAUAGUCAGUACAUGGUUCUUCAAUACUGUGGUAACAAUUGAGGGGAAUAUUAUGAUUCUCUAGGCUUUAUGUUAUCUUACCAUACUAUCCAAUAAAAAUGAUUCUCUUCUUCAAUACCUGUCUAACCACCUCUGAUAUGUUAUUUGUUGGCUAGCCUGUACUCUUUUCACAGAGAGGUGUCGAGUUGUGAUGCAAGGUUUUGCCAUGUUGAUUAAAAGAUAUCGACAUCGAAGACUAUAUACUCGGAUCGCAUGGCAUGUUUAGGAACCAUGGCUCUACUACUACUACACAUCCACUUGCCAUUGUAGUCAUCAACUGAAAUUUAGUCAAAAUCGAUAAUUGUAAGUUGAAAAUUUCUUUUUGGCGGGCUAAAAGGACAGAAGUUUUGAGUGGGAAGAGAUUGUUGUUAUUUAAGGCCAAUUAUUGUUGUUGAGUCACUUCCUCUUUCUCUUCCUGGUAUGCGGUUAUCCAUAUAAUAGCUGGUAUUGAAAAUGCAACUACCUAACCCAAGCUCAGCAAGCAUUAACUAAUUUUUGUCUUCAUAGUUCACUUUUAAUCUUCAUAUUGCAGUAUUUAUUCAAUUAUUUAAUUUAAUGGUCACAUUGCAGUAUUCCUUGGAACUCUAGCCUAACUUGUAGGUGAGUUAGGAAUCUAUUUCUAAUUUCUGGGAUGUCCGCUAAGCAACCAAACUUAUGCUCGGAGUGACAUUCUUGUUGGCCUUCUAUUUGAAGAAGCUCGCCAUGUACACCACAGGUCAGAGUGGUUGUUCCCGUACUCCAUAGAGAUGUGAUACUCAAUGGCGUUGGUUGAGACGAUGACGACGGCAAAAUAGAAAGAUGAUUAUGAGAAGUUCGACUUGUAAGAGAAUAAUCAUAUUACUAACAAUAGAUGUAGAUCUUGAGUAGAUUGAAACAUUAAAUAGUGAUUGUAACUGAGUACUUGAACAUGUUAUUCAAGAUUCAUAGAAUAAAAAGGGUACUAAUGGUUUGAAACAUGAAUGCAAUACCUUUUCUUUGGUGAAAAAUCAACCUUUUGUAUACAACAAUUCAUUUUAAAUAUUUCUUGCUGUUAUUAGAUUAUUCUUUUGCAUACAAACUUUAACAUAUAAUUGUCAUAUUAGUCUAGACGUGCGUUUCACGUGCACACUUACUAGUUCGUCCGGAAAAAAUCCAUUUUAAACCUGAAACUCGUAGGAAUUUGGCGAAACAAAUUCCAACAUUUUAUUUAGGGAAAUGUUUAAAAUCAUCCGGUUGAUUUUCAACUCACGUAAACCUCCUCUCCAACACGACACGUGACCUGCGGGGUUCAUCCACCGCUUCAUCCCCAACCUUAUCCUCUCCCCUCCCCUCGCAUCUCUUCAGUCGCUUUUUCUUUUCCUCAUCUCUCUCACCGGCCCUCGCCAUAGAACUCAGCACCGCAGCUGCAGCCAUGACAACAGCCAUCGCUGCUGCAGGCCAAAGGAUGGCAUGCGGCCAUGACAGCAACCACCACACCGCGAUCCCCUCUCAUCCCCACGCACGCUCGUUGGAGCAUCUCGUCGCUGCCUCCGCCGCCGGCCGCCGCCUCGUGCUUCGUCGCAGCACCCCGUCGUCGCCGUGCUGCUAUGGAGCGCCGCCAUGCUGCGUCGCCGCCUCCGCCGUCGCCUCGUGCUUCGUCGCGGCACCUCGUCGUCGUCGUGUUGCUAUGGAGCGCCGCUGUGCUGCGUCGCAGCCUCGCCGCCACAUCGUGCUUUCGUCGCAGCACCUCGUUGUCGUCGUCAUGUUGCUAUGGAGCGCCGUCGUGCUGCGUCGCAACCUCCACCGCCGCAUCGUGCUUCGUCGCAGCUCUCCGUCGUCGUCGUGCUGCUAUGGAGCACUGUCGUGCCGAUGGUCGUGUUGCAAUGAAGCUUCACCGGCGGCCAUCUGGUGGAGCGAUGGACCCGCCGCGCCGGGUGCGCCGCUGCACUGGAACAUCGCCGGCGGUCGUAGGGUGCUGCGAUGGAGCACCGCCAUGCCAGCUUUGGCGCUACAGUGAAGCAUCGCCGGUGGUCGUCGGGUGCUGCGAUGGAGCAGCGCCACACCGGUGUUGGCGCUGCAGCGAAGCGUUGCCGGUGGUGGAGCAUGGCUGCGCUGCCGGUGAGGUGGUGGCGUACUGGCAUGGUGCGACUCCUCCUGUGGCGCUGCUUCCAACGACGACACGCUUUGGUUGCUCGCGUGUGGCUGCGAUGACAGCAGGGACGAGCCCGCGAGAGGGCGUUGACUGAAUCCAACGAGUUACCAGCGUUGUAGCUGACGGGCCAGGACCCGACUGAUUUCUCUGGAAAAUAAGUUGGUUGAUCCGUAGCAGGCGCCACUUUUAUUUAUCAGUAAGCGCAGCAUUGUCAAAGCAGAAGGGGAUUGGGGUUUAGGGACCUACACAGUUUAAUUUUGCUAUGUUAGCAAAACAGUGUUGGCGAUUUUUCCAGAAUCCGGACUCUUUAUGUGCUCGGGUCCUUAGCGCUAAAUAUUAUCCAGAUGAAAAUUUGAUGAAGACUGGUUCAAAAAGGGGUCGUUCUAUAUAUGGUAAAGUACCGUGGCAGGCAUACAGACGUUCCAGCGAGGAUGUAUAUGAAGAGUUGGUUCCGGGUCUCAAAUUAAUAUCUGACGUAACCCAUGAAUUCCAACUAAUGCAACACGGAAGAUAAUCAUACCAAGAGGAAUGAAUACAACCCUUUAACGGUGGCGGUAUGGGCGCCUCCUCGCUGCAUCCACCUGUCUUUUACUGUGCGAAUAGAGAAGAAAAAAAAGGUGUUACCUGAGUCGUCCCCUCCACCCCGAUGCCCCCCAUCUCUCUCACUUCUCUCUCUCCCGUUCCCUUUUUUCGCCGCCGCCUUCGUCGGCCGGUUCCGGCGAACGCUGGCGGUCUCCGCCGUCGUGGUGGCUACCAAUCUCUUCCUCUCCUCGCGCUCUAUAUGAUCCACCGCAUCGAUUCAUCGAUCCCAUCCUCAUGUGGUUGCCCGCAUCGGAUUUACCCGUCUAGGGUUUCGGUGCGGUCGACCUCCUCAUCGCCGGCGAUGCUCCGGCGCCUUGGUCCGGUCGUCUUUGUCUUCUGCCGUGCUCUCUCGUGCUGCUCUGCUUCCUAACGGCGCUCCCGUGCCUCAGAUGCACGCCAGGGCGGCACGGUGAGCAGGUGGGAGGAGAAGGCGGCGGCGAUUUCGAUCUAUUAUUCUGCGUUGACACGGGAGGCGGUAGAGCGGUCUGGACGAGAUUCCUGGUGCCGGUUUCCUCACCAUGCUGAGGCCACCUGCAUCGAGCAAUGGUUGAUGCCAAGGCUUUAAGGACCUGUUCGGGUUCUCUCCGCUCCACAACUACGGCUCCCGGAGCGGAGGGAGGGGCAGCACAAAUCAGGGAGUGGCUCAAACUGAGGUCCUCGUCUCCUCUACAGCUCGGAGCGGAGUUUUGAGAUUGGAGAGGUUGCGAACAGGCUCUAAGAAUGGACUGCAGCUCUGACCCAAGCAGCGUGAAGCUCCUGAGUCGCAUAUAGCAGAUCUCAAGAGAGAUAAUGAGCGUUUAAGAAGGUUGCACACGGAAACCUUAUUCAAAUUCACCAACCAGGAGCAUAAAGGGACAUCAAAUAACUUAAGCAUGACUAUGAAAUGAACUGAAACUCCCUGGAGAGCAAGCUCCGCUGCACUCUUGUCCAGCAAGGCACCGAUGAAGGAUUCUGUUUUUGGGAGACCUGAUUAUGGGGCCAACACGGUCAUGCAAAUUUUUUUGGCAGCAGAAGGUAAUCUAAUAUCAGGAAGGGGCAUCUCACAAUACUGCAGCUAUUAAAAAGAAUCCAAAACAGAGGCGUCUAGGAGAACGAGCUUUGUUGCUGUUCAUCUCCCAGGAUGGUUAUUGCCAAUUACCAGAACCAUGUCAAGCACAAUAAACUGAGGUCCUUUCAUACUACAUGCCUUCUAUUUCAUUUCUGCAUAUUUGAGAGAGGUGGGCGACUCUGCCUGAGCUGCAUGCUAUAUGGCUGGAAGCCAGAGCUCGGGCCCGACGCCUCCGCUCGCCGUUUCCCACGCCUCCGGCGCCCCUGGUGAUUUCCGUGUGGAUCAGGUCUUCAGGGUGCCAAUAUUUUCGGACGUAGUUGGGCCAGCAAGCUCAGAUCUGAAGGAGAGAAUUGACAUGGGUAGCCGACGAGAGGGCAAGAUUCGUACGUGGCGGUGAAUUUAGAUGGCGGCGGCACCAGUGCGGACGAUGCCAAUAGCAAGGACAGCGAGCCGGCGUAGUCCGAAUAGUGUGGAGUGAAUUGAAGCCGGAUCCGCAAGCAUCCGAGUGGAUUAAAGCGGGGGGUGGAGGUGAUGCGAUCUACUCGGGAAUAAGUGAAUGAUAUCAUUAUGAUGCCAAAUUAGUCCGCAAAUACUGCUGCUUCUAGAAUCUGAAUGUACCCGCUAUGCAUGUUGCAGGCAAUGAACUAUUUUACAAGAUAAAAUAUCAGGAAGGGGCAUCUCAUAAUACUGCAGCUAUUAAAAAGAAUCCAAAUGAGCCCGCGUCACCAUCGUCGUCCAGAGACAGGUCGGCAAGGGAGGCUAUGAGGAAUUGGGUACAUCCAAACUUCCCCUGUGAUAUCUUUAUUUUAUUCCUCAGUUUAAGCCCAUGGAUAAGAAUAUUUCAGUCGCUGAAGAGAUUGUUGAACAUAUGACAUUGAUGCAAAUCUCUGGCCACCUACAAGUGAAACUGCUUGAAGACCAAGUUCGAAUAUGUAUGAGCGCAGUGAAGUUCGGCAUGCAAGUCUAUUCGCAGUCUCGCACCCUAAUGUAAUCAGUCAAGUAGUGACGGGAAGGCGCCGCCGACCAGGAUGUGGAGGAAGAUGGGGUUGAGACGGGUUGGUGAAGGUGUUGUGGCUGGUCGUUGGCCAAGCAGCCGCCUCUCCCUCGUCUUUGACAUCGUGAAGAAUGAUGUUGAAAUGGAUGCGUGCUGCAGGAGCAGCAGAGGCGUCGUGUGAGCCUUGGGUUCUUCAUCAAUUCGUUCGUGCGUUCCCUUGGUCGCAUGCGCGCCUCAGGUACAACUUGCCUCUCGUCUCUCCUCCCUGUUAUGGAUCCAACAUGAGGAUAAAUUGUUGGGGCAGUAGGUAAUAUCAGGAUUUUUUAUUGUUGUUGCUUCUAUUUACGUUUAUGUUCAUGGUUGUUGGUGUAUGGCGUUCACCUUUUACCUGGAUACCAGACCAAAUAAGAUCUCAAUUCAGUUUCUUUAUUUCGAUGUUCAUCUCGUGUAUCAUGAAAAAACUUCACCACUAAAGAGAGCAGAGCUAUUAUCUUGACAAUAGAAGCUAGAUAAAUUAAUCCAUGAGCAUUUUCAUGCAUAUUAUUUAAUAUAUUUUCAUUCAUCAAUUCGUUCGUGCGUUCCCUUGGUCGCAUGCGCGCCUCAGGUACAACUUGCCUCUCGUCUCUCCUCCCUGUUAUGGAUCCAACAUGAGGAUAAAUUGUUGGGGCAGUAGGUAAUAUCAGGAUUUUUUAUUGUUGUUGCUUCUAUUUACGUUUAUGUUCAUGGUUGUUGGUGUAUGGCGUUCACCUUUUACCUGGAUGCCAGACCAAAUAAGAUCUCAAUUCAGUUUCUUUAUUUCGAUGUUCAUCUCGUGUAUCAUGAAAAAACUUCACCACUAAAGAGAGCAGAGCUAUUAUCUUGACAAUAGAAGCUAGAUAAAUUAAUCCAUGAGCAUUUUCAUGCAUAUUAUUUAAUAUAUUUUUAGUUGUGCUAAUUUAAUAACAGUACUAUUUAUAGUGCUGAUUUGGAGAUAUGUGCAAUGCACUUUCAGCAAUCAACAGUUCACCUACCUGUGUAUUGUAUGCAUUAACUAGAUUAAUUAAUGACGAAGGAAGGAUUUAUUCAAGUCAAGUUACUAAAUAUUUAUGAUGGUAUCUUUUUCCCUGAACUUCUUAUCCAGGAUCAGCUCGGAGUUGAAUACUUAACUGGUUCAGGAAAGCUUCAAAUACAAUAGUGGCAAACAUCUCCAUUGAUGCUACAAAGCAUCUCGAUGAUUUUGAAGCGAGUCUUCAUGUUAAUUACAUUACUUUUUGUAUCAUGCCCUAUUGAUCGAAAAGUUACUUAGCCCUAAUCAUCCAUGCUUAAUAAUGAGGAUCGUUUUGGGAUUUUGUUUAGCUUUCCAACACUUCCAUAGUUUAUUAGUACAGAGCUAGAUCACACGUAAUGAAGUCAUUUUACUUGGCUUUCUAGCAACGGGUCAGCAAGUGGGUCAUGAUGAACCAAAUUAUGUUCUCUCUCUUGCAUAUAGAUGCUCACGAUUAUACUGAUCUGAUCAAUUGUAGGUUCCAUAGGAACACUGAACUUGAUUUUGUUGCCUCCUCGUAGCAGGGCCAGGGAAGCAGUGUCAAGUGGAUCCUGGAAGAGCACUGGUGUGGGAUCCGCUGCUGCCAGGUAUGCUUUUCUUCCUUCCCGUCCUCUCGAUCCACUUCCUCUCUUUGUUUCUGAAUUUUGCCCUCAAAUUGUGAGGUGAGGCUCAAAAAAUACAGUGGUUACCGACGGCGGCGACGACCACGAAGAUUGUCCCAGCAUCUGGAACAGUGGAUGCAUUGAGAUCGAGAUGACGAUUAGCCACUCCAUCCACGAUCACUGUUUUCCCCCUUUCUUUUUGUGGAGAUGAUUUCACUACUCUUUAUCAAUGCUGUAAUAACCAAGGUGCAUGUGUGACUCGUUCAAUCAAUUGUGUAAUGAACCCUGCUUAAUAUGCCUAUGAUGCAAUACCACUACAUAGUUUAAAAAGAAUGUGUGACUCGUUCAA